RNAcentral lists this ribosomal RNA (468 nucleotides) under uncultured bacterium. RNAcentral's name for it is "partial 16S ribosomal RNA". It matches the Rfam family "Bacterial small subunit ribosomal RNA", at positions 28 to 507 of the family's 1533-position model. The record is from RNAcentral.
GACGAACGCUGGCGGCGUGCUUAACACAUGCAAGUCGAACGGAAAGGCCCUGCUUUUGUGGGGUGCUCGAGUGGCGAACGGGUGAGUAACACGUGAGUAACCUGCCCUUGACUUUGGGAUAACUUCAGGAAACUAGGGCUAAUACCUGAUAGGAGCUCCUGCUGCAUGGUGGGGGUUGGAAAGUUUCGGCGGUUGGGGAUGGACUCGCGGCUUAUCAGCUUGUUGGUGGGGUAGUGGCUUACCAAGGCUUUGACGGGUAGCCGGCCUGGGAGGGUGACCGGCCACAUUGGGACUGAGAUACGGCCCAGACUCCUACGGGAGGCAGCAGUGGGGAAUAUUGCACAAUGGGCGGAAGCCUGAUGCAGCAACGCCGCGUGCGGGAUGACGGCCUUCGGGUUGUAAACCGCUUUCGCCUGUGACGAAGCGUGAGUGACGGUAAUGGGUAAAGAAGCACCGGCUAACUACGUG